This 204-nucleotide ribosomal RNA is filed under the name Bacillus cereus. RNAcentral describes it as "partial 23S ribosomal RNA". It matches the Rfam family "Bacterial large subunit ribosomal RNA", at positions 2103 to 2306 of the family's 2925-position model. Lineage: Bacteria; Bacillati; Bacillota; Bacilli; Caryophanales; Bacillaceae. The record is from RNAcentral.
GCUGUAGCCUGAUAUUGAAUUUUGGUACAGUUUGUACAGGAUAGGCGGGAGCCAUUGAAACCGGAGCGCUAGCUUCGGUGGAGGCGCUGGUGGGAUACCGCCCUGACUGUAUUGAAAUUCUAACCUACGGGUCUUAUCGACCCGGGAGACAGUGUCAGGUGGGGAGUUUGACUGGGGCGGUCGCCUCCGACAGAGUACCGGAGC